GACGAACCGUGCGAACGUUAUUCGGAAUCACUGGGCUUAAAGCGCGUGUAGGCGGGCCGGCCCGUCGGCCGCUGAAAUCCCCCGGCUCAACCGGGGAAGCGGCGCCGAUACGACCGGCCUGGAGGGGCGUAGGGGGAUCGGGAACUUCCGGUGGAGCGGUGAAAUGCGUUGAGAUCGGAAGGAACGCCCGUGGCGAAGGCGCGGUCCUGGACGCCAUCUGACGCUGAGACGCGAAAGCCAGGGGAGCGAACGGG
Molecule: ribosomal RNA, 254 nt
Filed under: uncultured bacterium
Lineage: Bacteria
Description: partial 16S ribosomal RNA
Rfam family: Bacterial small subunit ribosomal RNA
Source: RNAcentral